Molecule: long non-coding RNA, 6695 nt
Organism: Cornus florida
Lineage: Eukaryota; Viridiplantae; Streptophyta; Magnoliopsida; Cornales; Cornaceae
Exons: 3
Source: RefSeq, a predicted model, not a curated record
CAAAUACUUUCCCAGCCAACCAAGGUUGAUCAUAACUUUCGGCGAAAAGAAAACAGAAAAGAAAAAGAAAAAAAGGUUGAUCAUUCAUUAAAAGUGAAUAAUUGCAUCUCAUCAGCAGAAGCUCAAGCUCUGCAUCGCAAGUGAGUAAUUCACUCCGUUGCCAUCAUCACGGGAGAGGGCUUCGAAUAUAGUAGAAUUAAGAUCAUUGUUCGCAGGAGAUGAUCGAUUGAGGUGUGUAGUGAUUCUAGGGAACUAGUGAUGAAACUAGGGUUUGUGAUCAAGGACCACCAUGAUUUACCGACACAAGCGCACCAGACGAGUGUUUUGAUCGGUAGUCGAGUGGGACGGCGAUGAACACAUCAUGAGGUAGGAAAUCUGACAAUUUCUUCCAAUUCGGUUCUUGUGUCUGCAAACCCUAGUUCAUCGCCACACAACUCAAUCGAUCAUCUCUUGCCAACAACAACAACAACAACAACAAAAAACUUUGGUGAUACAGUCACUUGUAAGGAAUUACAUGUUUUCUGUUAUUGCUACAUGUGAAUGUAAAAGCUCAACCUAGCAUUUAAGUGAUUACCUCUAUUUCAUCAUUGCCCUAGUAAGUAGCCUAAACUUCAACUUUUAUUUUUUAUUUGUCAAUUACUGUUUGAUAUUCAUCUUUGAAGAGUUACAAUUAAAACAUCUUAAUUAGUCUGUUAUAUAUAUGGCAUCACUUUGAGAAAACUGAUUUUCAAUUAUUUUUGUUGAAGAAGGAGGCAGACAAAAAUUAAUUUAUCCUGUGCCUUUUUUCAUUGUUAUGACAUGUAUUCAUUUUCAUAUUUCAUAGUUCUUUUGAAAUUGUUUUACUUAUUUCAACUAAAAUUCUGAAUAGAUCUCUUAGCUAUAUUUUGAGUGUACAUGUCCACAAAAUGUCUCUACCAACCAUACACCACAGCCAAAUUACAUAACUGCUUUCUAAACUUUGCCCUUUUCUUCAUCUUUUGUCUCUGAUGUCAACUUCUCAGAUUUCAGUAAUUUACACAGAAGUAAAAAACCCAUCUGGUUCUGUGCAUGGAGAUUGCUUCUGUUGCCGAAUCUAUUAGAGAGGGAAAUGUCGAUUAUGCAAAACGUGCAUUGAGGUGGAAAUCUUAAACAAAUUGAUUUCAAUUGGAGUUGAACCGUUGUUAAUUGAGGAUGCUUACUUUUAUCUCACUAGCCAUCCAGAUCCGAUAAGGCAAGAAAGAAUAUUUUGGUUAUGGACCAUGUAUAGCUUAUAGGUUAUUUUUUUGAGAAACACCUUAUGAUAUACACUAGGAAUGUUAUGGAAUCUAGCUUUUUUGGUGAAAUUUUUGUCAGGAAAAGUUAUGUAUAUAUUGGAACCUUUACAAUGCUUGGUUAUGGAAUCUAGCUCAUGAUCCCUUUCAAAAACAAAAUGAAAAUAAUAAUAAAUCUAGCAGGUGAUUUUUCCCUUGAUUGUUACUCCUUUUUUUCUAUCUCUAUAGUCUAAUUUGGUCUAUGCCAUGAGAUGUUCCACAAUAAUUUUUUUAUUUUUUCUAUGAUGUCAGGACUUCCCUUAAUAUCCUCAUUUUACCGGUUAGGUGUUUCAUGGUUCAACCUAAAAAUUUAAGUUAUUAGAUAAAAAUAACACACAACCCAUAUAUAUCCAUUUUUCUUCCCAUUCGGAUCUAAUAUGGGACACCUCUGAUAAGUUAGUAUUGAGGAAGGUUUUUUGUUCUUAAUUUUUUAUUGAAAAAUUGUGGUCUUCAAAAAAAAAAAAAAAAAAAAAAAAAAAAAAAUUAUUUAUUUAUUUAUUUUGAAUGGUAAAUUCAAUUGAAAAAAAACCCCAAAAAAGCGAAACAUGGCCUUUGGCCCAAGCAAGUUACAGAGAAACCCAUAUAAGUGGCCCAAAGAACUACAAAAAAUAUCUGUUGAACAGAAGAACAGAAUUACAACUCCGGUGAGGCUCAAGCAACAGACCACCAUUGGGGAUUUUGAAUUUAGGUUGAUAUCUUCAACAGUCUUGAUUUUUUUCUUCAUUAGCUUGAAGUACACAUCACUCACACAUUCAAUUUACUGAUCACUUGAGAAUUUCAACCCUAACCAUACACUAGACUACUACAAGGCUUAGAACAACCUUCUUCUGUUUUGAAUUUGGGCUUAGAACAACCUUCUUCUGUUUUGAAUUUGGGAGAAAAUUGAUUUGGAUGGUUGAAUGGCCUGGCUGGGCUUUAGGAUAGUCAGGGCUAAGUUUUGAUUGUUGUUGCAUUUGUUUGGCCCUAACUUCCUGUUGGGUCUCUCUUGCAAUUCUUCUUCUUCAAUAUAUAUUGCUUUAACUUUUUUUCAAAAAAAAAAAACACACAAUUGAUAAUGAAAAAGAAUUUUCGCUUGUUUUUAAUCUCGUAGUCAGGUAAUUAUAGAGAGAUUUUUUUUAAAAUUCAAUACAAUAUAAAUGUGCAAAAAAAUAUAUAUAAAUGCUACUAUAUAUAUUACAAUCAUCUAAACAAGCUUUUUCAUUACUAUUUGCUUUGAAAUAUUGUGCAACAAAUGUAGUUAUCAAACAUUGCUUCAAAAUAAAUUACAUCACAACAAAAACAUGCUUCUGCUCCAAAAUGUAAAACAGUGUGUGCCCAAGGGGGCACAAACCCUUGGCCUCGCCCAUGGCUAUAUAGCUAUUUUUUAAUUUAUAUAUAUAUAUAUAUAUAUAUAUAUAUAUAUAUGAAAAUUUUCUAUGUAAAGCCCCUGAAUUUUUUUAUUUUAUUUUGUUUUCGAACAGUAAAGCCCUGAACUUUUAAUUUCUAAAAUUAUCUCUUAAUUUUUUUUUCUUUUGUACACAUAAAAAUAAUAAUAAUAAAAAUAAAAAUCUCACAAAGGAUACCUCAUAGUAGCUACUCUAUGAGCCGGUUUGGGAUUGAUGUUGGAUAAAAAAAAACACUUUUAUCAAUAAAGCUAUCAAAAUAUUGCUUUUGGUAAGUUUGGUGACACUAUAAUAAGUAUUUUUCACAAUUAAAUUACUUUUUAAUUUAUUUGGUAACAGUUUUUUUUAAGACACUUCUAUUACUAAUUUUACAAUAAUAUCUUUUAAUACGAUAUAUUACCAUAUUUGACAAUAGUAAUUUUAUUAAACAAGUUACAUUAUAAAAAAUAAAAAGGACAAAAUUGUCAAAUGAAAAAUAAUUACCUUAAAAUAUACAGCCUCUACCCCACAAUUUUAAAAGUUCCAAAUUCCAGCUUAAUUCAAAACUACUAUUAAACUAAAUUUGAUAAUCAUUAAAAGCACUUUUAAUGAUUUACUAAGCACGUCUAAAACAAUUUUUUAAAAUAAAAAUCUUUUAAGCAGCAAUCACAAACGGGCUCUAUAUGUAAUCAAUGAAAAUAUUACUAUUUUUUUUUUUUUUUUUUUUUUAACACUCCGGAUUGAAAUCUUCCGCCCCUGUUGCCAAACGGGUCCAAUGACUAGGUAAUGAAGAUUGCAAGUAGUAAUAUCCAUUAAUGGUGUGCUGGACUUUUUCUUUGGUGAGAGGAUCUUGGUAGGCGUGCAGACGAUGAAAUCCAUCGAUUCGAUUUGGGAUCGAGGACUUUUUCCCGUGUGGUGGACUGGAAGGAGCUUUAUCUAUGGAAUCCAUCGAUUCGGAAGACGAUGGCUCUGUGGUGGCUCAUCUGAUAUUUGCUUUGUGGUGGCUCAUUUCGAUUCCACACCAGAGGAAAGCACCAAGAAUGUUGUUGAUGUCAUUGAUAGUCUUCUUCGGAAGGAUAAAGAUUCAUGUCCAGUAGGGCAGAUUCAGUAAAUUCAGGAACCUACUGUAACACAAUAUCCAAAAUGGGUUUGCCUUCUCUGGUUUACAAAAUUUGGUACGAGCGCAAUAGGAGAAUUUUCAAGAAGAAAUCACUUACUGCAAAUUCCUGAUUCACCAAACUCUGGAGACUGUUAGACAAGGAGACUGUUAGACAAGAACUUCUUUCAUCUUCCAUCAGAACUUCUCAAAAUGAUAGAAGGGUAAUUGAAGAGUGGGACCUCCCUCCGUCGACCAUCCGACCACCGGCGAAACCUCCUGACUGCUUUCACUUGGGAGAUUGUCUCCAUGCUCCGAUUUGGAUUGUGCUGUUGACCAUCAACGGUCUUCUGGUUUUUGCUUCUAUAGCUAAUGUUGUUGUUGUAUUCUUGGGCUUCGCCUUGAAGCCUGGGUCUCUUCAUGGUUCUAUUUGGGCCAACUUUGUACACAUCAAUCAACCAAAGCAGCCCUCUCUCUCUCUCUCUUGAAUCCAUAUGAAACCCUAACCCUCUCUAAGUCGAAGCACGAAUUUUUCGGGAGCUUCGUCUUUGGCGAGUUUCACCUUCAGAGGAAAAUUGCCCAGCAACAAAAGACACAGAAAAAAACCGUGGAAGAUACCAUCAUCUGUAGGCUGACCAGAAUUGAGAAUCUUAAUCUGACGAAUUCCAGCGUCCGACGAAGACCAGCGACCUGCGAGCAGCUACCGGCGAGCAGCGACCAACGAAGACCAGCGACCAGUUCUACUAGCGAGCGAGCAAGGACGAAUGUACCAUUUUAUAGUCGCCUAUUUAUGUCAUUGUAAUCUGAUUUCUGUGACUGUCCAGUAAAUUGCCCUCUUCUCUUCACCUAUAGUAUAGUUAGAUUGAUGAAACCGGACUUCCAUGAAUCAAGAUUGAAUAACAAACAAUCGUGUGUUAUGAAAUUGGGGUUAGUCUUUGACAGUGUAUUAUGAAAUUGGGGUUAGUCUUUCAAUUUGCCAUCUUGAAUUUUGACGUCCAUUCUCAGCAUAGAUACUCCUUUUGCUCGGGAUCCGAGAAAGUAGCCAGGGCACAAGUCGCGCGGAAUCCUGAUUCAUGGCGGGACUAGACUGCUGGAAGGAGGUAGGGCUUAUUUUAUCACAUUUUUCUCUUUAUUUUCACUUUCACCUUCUUUUUUAGUCUCCAUAAUUAAUUGAAGACUCAGAAGUCGAGCAAAUGGAAAAGAUGUAAGAGGUAACCUGUUAUUGAUUUAUUUUGAGAAGUUUAAAUGAACAUCCAAUAUAAAUUACCUCCCAUUAGCAUCCAAAACCUUUGAGGACUAUUCAAGAAUUAUUUAAUUUAGAUCGAAAUAGAUAUAUUGUUGCUUAAAAAUUAUUUAUUUUAUAUUGAAACAUAUAUAUUGUUGCUUAAAUUAAAUUGUUCAGAUUCACAAUCUUCAUCCUCUUCACUACAUUAUGUUGGGGAUGAUCUAAAUAAUCCUAAAUAAUAAAUUUCCCUGCAAAACCUAGCAAUCAGAAAUUGAAUAUGCAUCUACAAUCUGCCGUAACACGCGCAAUCUUCAUCCUCUUCACUACACUAUGUUCGAAAUUUGUGAAUUUUUGCUUAAACAUGACCUAGAAAAUGAAGAAGCUGAUGAACGAUUCUGUUUUUACUUCAAUUUCCUCAUCUAAUUCUGAUCCUCGUAACCUUCCAUAGAGUUCGAACCGUUCUUUGUCUUCUUCGUACCAAUUCUGUCUGUGAACAGAGAAUUUAGAAGCCAGCAAGUUGACGGCCAGGUGAGUUCGGUUGUUUCGCCUUCUUCAAAUUGUUGUAAAUCUACAUCUAUAAUCCAAGAAUAUAUUUAUAUAUGUAUCGUGUGUGAGUGUGUGUGAGAGAGAGAUUAUUUGGUAUAUUUACAUUCUUUAUGAAACAAGUUGUCUGAUUAUUUCAAUUUGAAUACAUUCUGUGAACCCAAAUAUUAUUAUAUAUUUGCACAUUUAUAUAAUGGAGUUUUUAUUUGAAAACUGUGAGCUUUCCAUCGGUGAUUGUUCCUUACUGUUGUUUUUCCACAUAUAGCAUCAGAAAAUUUUACGGUUCUCAUUGUGUUCUAAGUACUCUGUUAAUGGGUUGUAUGAAACUGCAAUUGAAAGCUGAAAUUAUUGUGUAUACUGCCAUAGACAAGUAAUAUUAUUUCUAAAAUUGUUAGUGUUAUAUCAGUGAGUACUUAAGUUUGAUAAUGGCAUCUUUUAUUAUGGUUGAAUUUCCGUUGAUCCAUCUAAAUUACACUUUUAGGUGCCUCCUCAAGAGCAUUGUUGUCGGUAUAAACAAAACAAUGCAUAGAAGAGAACAACCCAUCCAAGGAAGUACUAUAACAGUUUAUAACUGAUCCGAUUGCAACCAAAUUAGGAGCAGAAGGAUCAGAAUCUCCAUGAUUCCAGUCUACAACAAAGGUCAAGAGUAUUCUUCUUUUUCAUUGCUACUUUAUAGGAAAUUACGAUUUAUGUGUUUGGUUUGUUAAGAAAGUGAAAAUGAAAUAUAAAAUAACUUAAAAGAUUCUUGGUAAGAUAUCUUUUUAUUUUAUCCUCACUAUCAUAUUUUACCUUCACUAUCAUAUUUUAUCUUCACUAUCAUGUUUGUCUCUCUCCAACAAAUUAAUUGUACCCAAUUCUAUUUUCUCUAUUUACAGGUUCAAGAUUAUCAUUUUCUUUUGGGAUACCUGAGUGUGCUUCUUAGGGUAUCAGAAUAUGAUGACGGGCACUACAAUGAGGAUAUAAUGACAAGCAAAACACAAGUAGUGUAAUACUGACCAAUUGGGUUACCUAGAAGAGUGAGCAAUUGCCUUAAUAUUUUUAUUUUUUGUGGAUAUUGCUACUUGCCGGGUUAUAAUUUUUGUGGGUAUAUAUAUAUGUCAACAAUGAUGGAAUUGUGCAUUGAAAUCUUUGAUGAAUAUAAGACUUCUUCAAAUUUAUUUGUUCGUUAUUGUUGGGAUUUA